This 525-nucleotide ribosomal RNA is filed under the name Triticum aestivum (bread wheat). RNAcentral describes it as "partial small subunit ribosomal RNA". Lineage: Eukaryota; Viridiplantae; Streptophyta; Magnoliopsida; Poales; Poaceae. The record is from RNAcentral.
AAACCAUGGAAGGGAACUCCGGUGCCUUGUGAGGAGGCUGAUUUGAACAUUUUUGCAGCAUGCACAACCAUUUCAUUGGGUGAUGGGCGACUCGCAAAUUUUUGGAGUCACAGAUGGCUUCAUGGCCUUGCUCCCAAGGAGAUUGCCCCGGAUUUGUUCAAGAUGUCCGGAUCUAAGAACUUGACUGUCAAUGAAGCCAUGUCAAAUGGCUCUUGGAUGAGAGGCUUGAGGAGUAUUAACACCUCAGAUUUAUUGGAUUCCUUCAUCAGCCUAUGGUGCACCUUGCAAGGAACUUCCUUACAAGCUUGCCCUGAUUCUAUCCGCUGGAACCUAACGUCUGAUGGAAUUUACUCUGCCAAGUCUGCUUACCACUUUCAGUUCCUAACUCGCAUCCCACAGCCACAACUUCUGAACGUUUGGAACAUCAAAGCAGAGGGCAAGAUCAAGUUUUUUAUUUGGACUAUGCUUCAAAAUAGAUUAUGGACUGUUGACAGAUGUAGAUUUGUAUUGAAUUGUAUUGAAUAA